UGGGGAAUAUUGCACAAUGGGCGCAAGCCUGAUGCAGCAACGCCGCGUGAGGGACGACGGCCUUCGGGUUGUAAACCUCUUUUAGUAGGGAAGAAGCGAAAGUGACGGUACCUGCAGAAAAAGCACCGGCUAACUACGUGCCAGCAGCCGCGGUAAUACGUAGGGUGCGAGCGUUUGUCCGGAAUUAUUGGGGCGUAAAGAGCUCGUAGGCGGUCUGUCGCGUCUGCUGUGAAAACCCGAGGCUCAACCUCGGGGCCCUGCAGUGGGGUACGGGCAGACGUAGAUGCGGUAGGGGAGAAUGGAAUUCCUGGUGUAGCGGUGGAAUGCGCAGAUAUCAGGAGGAACACCGAUGG
Molecule: ribosomal RNA, 353 nt
Filed under: uncultured bacterium
Lineage: Bacteria
Description: partial 16S ribosomal RNA
Rfam family: Bacterial small subunit ribosomal RNA
Source: RNAcentral